Non-coding RNA from Nothobranchius furzeri (turquoise killifish), 2487 nucleotides. The record is from RefSeq and is a predicted model, not a curated record. Lineage: Eukaryota; Metazoa; Chordata; Actinopteri; Cyprinodontiformes; Nothobranchiidae.
CUAUGUGUGUUCACACAGAGCUGCUUCAUGUGGUUUUAGCUGCAAAUGAUAAAAACUUUUAGCAAAGUUCCUCUUUAGAAGCUGAGCGUUUCUCACAUCAUCCUCCUUCAUCUGUCUUCUGUUAGAGGAGAUCACUCAGUACUGAACACUGGGAAGGAGGACUUCCAGAAUAUUCCAUAAACCAGAGCAGCUUUUAUUGACUCGGGUUUAAUACAUUUUACAUUCAGUAUAAAUGUCCUGACCCUAAAGUCCUGCAUCAGCAACAACAAGACCUGUUUAACAGCAGAGGAAACCUGAGUUCUGCUGUUGCUGCUAGUGAGGCUCAGCGUUUCUCCACCUGAUGUUUAUGAAGGCCACAGUCAGUGAUAAAAGUACCAGCUUAGUGGCCUAGUAAAAAUCUGCAACGCCUGCCUCCAGAGAGUGAAUGUGGUCCUGAGCACCAUCUGAGGAAAUUCAACAAACUCUGUUUCGUGCUAUUAUUGGUUCAACGUUUCUACAAAGAGACGUUCUGCCUACAGACUCUCAAAGACACUCUGCUAAAAGUUUCCUAUGUUAAACCACUUCCUUUGCUGUAGCCUGAGAAGUGAAUACAGAUGAAAACUGUCUGGUGAAGGUUUUCACACAUUCUCCUCUGAGGCGGAUCACUAACAGGACCCGCUGCAGUUUGAUCAGGCUAAAACAUCCAUGUUUGCUCUCAGAAAUAAUUCAGAACCAGUCUGAAAGCUGAGCAGACAUGGAGGCUGGACUGCUGCUGCUGCUGAUGAUGAUGAUGAUGAUGGGGGUCUUUCAGGCUGUAGAAACUUUCUGUGACGGCAGACAGGAUGGAGCUCAGUGUGUCGGAGCUUUAGGAGGAGCUGUGGACAUCCAGCUGGUGGACAACGCUGCAGAGAUACCCGGAUUAUACUGGAUAAAGGAUGGCCCGAUUAUAGUCCUGUGGAGAAGUAAAUAUAAUUCAACUAUCAUAAAGGACAACAGAUUCACUUUUAUUCCCAGUACUGGAACAGUUAGGAUCAAUAACCUGAUCAGGCAUGACAGUGGACAUUAUGAACUUGGGACCCUUGAUUCAAACGGACGUUUUACAGCAGAGAGGACUCUACUGUUGUCUGUUGAAGGUAAACAACUUUUUAGACCUUUUGAAGUAAAUCUUAAACUACAAAUCUGCACAUUUUCUUCUAUUUUAGUAAACCAGAUUAAAAAGCAACCAUCUUCCUAUAAUAAUAUUCAUUCAUCCCAUGAUUCUCUCAGCUGGUGUGUCGUCUGUCCAGCUGGUCUCUGAGUGUUGGUCCCAGGGACAGAUGCAGGUGUCCUGCUCCUCUGAGGAAGGGGACAGUCCUCAGUACAGUUGGACUCUGGAUGGAAAACACACUGACAGACUCUGAGCUCUUCUCUGGAAAUAAUCAGACUAACAUCAUCGUUCUGAGACAAAAUAUCUCGGGACGUCUGGUCUGUUCAGUCAGGAACCGAGUCAGUGAGUCCUCCAGAGAAAAGGACAUAUCUACCUGUGGUGAGUCACAGCAUCAUGGGGAAGAGUCUUGAUUUAUUUUAGACUGAUAAUUAUCAUUUUAUUUGCUCCCAGUCUUCAUUUUCAUUAAUAGCACUUCCAAUGGGACUCUCAUAUCUGAGUGGGUGUUUAGAGAAAAUAACACUCUGUGUGUAGAACCAACACCAGCCCCUACAGCAGUAACACACACUGGGGGUAAGGAGACAGAGUUAAAUUAUUCCUCCACUAUUAACUCGUCCUCCAAUCAAACUGACACUCAGGAUCUCCUUUGGUUCUUUAGGCCUCCUUCACCUUUACUCAUAUGUGGAUUACGAUUUCUCCUGGUUGUUCUCCUGCUCCUCAGCAUCUGUCUCUAUUUCACUUGGAGGAAAAAGAAAGAUGAAAAAGAGAAAAGUUCUGCAGACUCAGAGGAUCGAGACAACUCUGUGAUGAUGGUUGGAAUGAGUUCUGCUUCUUAAAAAGCAACAGUGUCUUUAUGGAUGUGAGAAAUGGUGAGGCCAACAUUUGUAGAACUAUUGAUUGUAAUUAACUUUUCUUUUUUCUUUUGCAAAAUUCAGCAAGUUUUAUGCAGAAAAUUUGAUGUGAUCCAGAAACACCUAAUAAAGGGUGGUUAGCCAAGCAGGACCUGCUUGUGGCUGUGUCCACGCUGUGUUUUAUCAGUGCUAACGUGUGUUUGCGAUGAGUAAAGAUUGUUCUGAGUUUAAAGAAGGACGUCUGCACAAAUGAGCUUUAAUUAAUGAGGCUCCAGCUAUUUUAUUUUUUCUAGCGUGAUAGAAGUGAAUGAUUUCACCUUAUUGUAGUUUAUUUUUUGCAUUUCUAUUUUUGCAUUUAUUUUUACUUUAAAACUAUUACUUGGGCAGCAGAAGCAUCGAUUUACAUGACUAUAAUAAUAAAAAAGGCUGAUUUGCUGCCAUGUUUAGUUUUGUAUCUUUAAGACAGGAACUGUAUCUUUUCGGUACAUAUUAAAAACCUGUCAGUGGUGACUC